AUUGAACGCUGGCGGCAUGCCUAACACAUGCAAGUCGAACGGUAACAGGCCUUCGGGCGCUGACGAGUGGCGGACGGGUGAGUAAUACGUAGGAACCUGCCUUUUAGUGGGGGAUAACUCGGGAGAAAUCCGGGCUAAUACCGCAUACGCACUACGGUGGAAAGCAGGGGAUCGCAAGACCUUGCGCUAAUAGAUGAGCCUACGUCGGAUUAGCUUGUUGGUAGGGUAAUGGCCUACCAAGGCGACGAUCCGUAGCUGGUCUGAGAGGACGACCAGCCACACUGGGACUGAGACACGGCCCAGACUCCUACGGGAGGCAGCAGUGGGGAAUAUUGGACGAAUGGGGGCAACCCUGAUCCAGCAAUGCCGCGU
Molecule: ribosomal RNA, 372 nt
Filed under: uncultured bacterium
Lineage: Bacteria
Description: bacterial SSU rRNA
Rfam family: Bacterial small subunit ribosomal RNA
Source: RNAcentral